AUGUCGAGCCGUGGCACCAUCCAGCUACAAGAGUCGGCCGCCCAGGACGGCAAUGUCGGCAAGAUACUCCACAGGACAGAGGACAAGGGGAAAGAGUACGACAAUAUUGUGAGAUCAAGAGUUAUGAUUUGUGAGGGAACAAAUAAUUUUCUUGAUCUUUGUGUUGACGAGAUGGCGGCUUUCCUAGGGUGGCAUUGUGUCCGAUGGGGGCAGGGUUGCACCAUGGGGAACUGUGAAUGCCAUUUGGGUUGGAAGAAUACAAUCAAUGAUGGAUUGACACAGACCUUUGUCGAGUUAAAACAUGAAGAAUAUUGA
This 315-nucleotide ribosomal RNA is filed under the name Triticum aestivum (bread wheat). Its description in RNAcentral is "partial small subunit ribosomal RNA". The record is from RNAcentral. Lineage: Eukaryota; Viridiplantae; Streptophyta; Magnoliopsida; Poales; Poaceae.